GUCCAGCUUGCUCUAUCAGCAGUCAGUAAAUCUAGAAUGCGGUGAUCUAAGUACGACGUGAAAUCUUUUACAAAAGGCGAGCUUUAAGGGACUGAUCAUGAAAUGGCUUACUUUCACCCGAAUACUUCUUGUAGCGCUACUUCUUUUGGUGGUACUGUGCCUAAACUUGGAAAAAGACAUUUUCAAAGCUACACUUUACAUCAGAAAUAGGACCCGGAUUUACGGUUUGUUAGACCAAAAACGCACUGCAGAAAGGACACAGUCUGAGAGAAUCGCAACCUUGAAAAGUUACUGCAGGACGAAUGACAC
Molecule: long non-coding RNA, 309 nt
Organism: Branchiostoma belcheri (Belcher's lancelet)
Lineage: Eukaryota; Metazoa; Chordata; Leptocardii; Amphioxiformes; Branchiostomatidae
Exons: 3
Source: RefSeq, a predicted model, not a curated record